Molecule: long non-coding RNA, 570 nt
Organism: Sebastes umbrosus (honeycomb rockfish)
Lineage: Eukaryota; Metazoa; Chordata; Actinopteri; Perciformes; Sebastidae
Exons: 5
Source: RefSeq, a predicted model, not a curated record
AGGGCGAGGAAACCUUGGGAUUUAUAUCAAAUCUAUUGUCAAGGGAGGACCGGCUGAAAUGAAUGGCAGGUUGACAGCUGGGGAUCAGCUGCUGAGUGUAGAUGGUCAAAAUCUGGCAGUCAAGAGAGGGGAUCAGCUGUGAUGUGCAGGUCCCAGGCUGGGGAAAGCCUGCUGCUGAAGGGGGAAAUGCACGGACGUGAGAACCCCUUACGAACCCCCCAUCUGCACGUCAUGGAACAUUUGCAGAACAGGGACCUCCCACCUUAAAGGCGUGCAGCAGAGAGCAGACACAACACAGAGAAACCUGCCCUGCACCGGACUCACCAUCUUAGGUUCAUUCAGAAUCACAGAUCCAUUAUUGGGCCACUGCAAUAAAGUGGCAAAGAUGCUCUUUUCCUGUGGUCUGAAAGUGUACCUGUCAACAUAAACAUAUGGACUCUCCGUUGACCUUCAGCCACUGACCCACCUGCCUCAGACGCUCCUCAAAGAGGGGAGCGAUCCUUCCAUCGUGUGUCGGGCCGACGUUCAUCAGCAGGUUUCCCCCACAGGACACAGUCUCCACCAACGUCU